Molecule: ribosomal RNA, 459 nt
Filed under: uncultured bacterium
Lineage: Bacteria
Description: partial 16S ribosomal RNA
Rfam family: Bacterial small subunit ribosomal RNA
Source: RNAcentral
CCUACGGGCGUCAGCAGUGAGGAAUAUUGGUCAAUGGGCGCGAGCCUGAACCAGCCAAGUCGCGUGAGGGAAGACGGUCCUAUGGAUUGUAAACCUCUUUUGUCGGGGAGCAAAAGACGCCACGCGUGGCGUUCCGAGAGUACCCGAAGAAAAAGCAUCGGCUAACUCCGUGCCAGCAGCCGCGGUAAUACGGAGGAUGCGAGCGUUAUCCGGAUUUAUUGGGUUUAAAGGGUGCGCAGGCGGAAGAUCAAGUCAGCGGUAAAAUUGAGAGGCUCAACCUCUUCGAGCCGUUGAAACUGGUUGUCUUGAGUGAGCGAGAGGUAUGCGGAAUGCGUGGUGUAGCGGUGAAAUGCAUAGAUAUCACGCAGAACUCCGAUUGCGAAGGCAGCAUACCGGCGCUCAACUGACGCUGAUGCACGAAAGUGUGGGUAUCGAACAGGAUUAGAUACCCGGGUAGUC